UUAACUCAGUGAUAGAGUAAUCCCAUGGUAAGGCGUAAGCCCUCGGUUCA
Molecule: transfer RNA, 50 nt
Filed under: Aster indicus
Lineage: Eukaryota; Viridiplantae; Streptophyta; Magnoliopsida; Asterales; Asteraceae
Description: tRNA-Thr
Source: RNAcentral